CCUACGGGAGGCAGCAGUGGGGAAUAUUGGACAAUGGACCAAAAGUCUGAUCCAGCAAUUCUGUGUGCACGAUGAAGUUUUUCGGAAUGUAAAGUGCUUUCAGUUGGGAAGAAGUCAGUGACGGUACCAACAGAAGAAGCGACGGCUAAAUACGUGCCAGCAGCCGCGGUAAU
RNAcentral lists this ribosomal RNA (173 nucleotides) under uncultured bacterium. RNAcentral's name for it is "partial 16S ribosomal RNA". It matches the Rfam family "Bacterial small subunit ribosomal RNA", at positions 338 to 524 of the family's 1533-position model. The record is from RNAcentral.